CCGAGUGAGGGCCCUCUGGGUCCAACCUCCCACCCGUGUUUAUUUUACCUUGUUGCUUCGGCGAGCCUGCCCUUUGGCUGCCGGGGGACAUCUGUCCCCGGGUCCGCGCUCGCCGAAGACACCUUAGAAAUCUGUCUGAAGAUUGUAGUCUGAGAUUAA
RNAcentral lists this unclassified non-coding RNA (159 nucleotides) under uncultured Penicillium. Lineage: Eukaryota; Fungi; Ascomycota; Eurotiomycetes; Eurotiales; Aspergillaceae. The record is from RNAcentral.